UUUGUUUUAAUUAAACAGUCGGAUUCCCCCUGUCCGCACCAGUUCUAAGCCGGCUGCUAGGCGCCGGCCGAGGCGAGCCACUGA
Salarias fasciatus (jewelled blenny) is the source of this 84-nucleotide long non-coding RNA. RefSeq lists it as uncharacterized. The record is from RefSeq and is a predicted model, not a curated record. The transcript has 3 exons. NCBI's taxonomy places the organism in Eukaryota, Metazoa, Chordata, Actinopteri, Blenniiformes, Blenniidae.